UACAGAGACUGCAAGCGUUAUUCGGAUUCACUGGGCGUAAAGGGUGCGCAGGCGGCCAAGUGUGUCAGGUGUGAAAUCCCGGGGCUUAACCCCGGAACUGCGCCUGAAACUACUUGGCUAGAGCAUUGGAGAGGGAAGUGGAAUUCACGGUGUAGCAGUGAAAUGCGUAGAUAUCGUGAGGAACACCAGAGGCGAAGGCGACUUCCUGGACAAUUGCUGACGCUCAGGCACGAAAGCGUGGGGAGCCAAAGGG
Molecule: ribosomal RNA, 253 nt
Filed under: uncultured bacterium
Lineage: Bacteria
Description: partial 16S ribosomal RNA
Rfam family: Bacterial small subunit ribosomal RNA
Source: RNAcentral